UACGAAGGGUGCAAGCGUUACUCGGAAUUACUGGGCGUAAAGCGUGCGUAGGUGGUUUGUUAAGUCUGCUGUGAAAUCCCCGGGCUCAACCUGGGAAUGGCAGUGGAUACUGGCAAGCUAGAGUGCGGUAGAGGGAUGUGGAAUUCCCGGUGUAGAGGUGAAAUGCGUAGAGAUCGAGAGGAACACCAGUGGCGAAGGCGGCAUCCUGGACCAGCACUGACACUCAGGCACGAAAGCGUGGGGAGCAAACAGG
Molecule: ribosomal RNA, 253 nt
Filed under: uncultured bacterium
Lineage: Bacteria
Description: partial 16S ribosomal RNA
Rfam family: Bacterial small subunit ribosomal RNA
Source: RNAcentral